Molecule: ribosomal RNA, 465 nt
Filed under: uncultured Klebsiella sp.
Lineage: Bacteria; Pseudomonadati; Pseudomonadota; Gammaproteobacteria; Enterobacterales; Enterobacteriaceae
Description: bacterial SSU rRNA
Rfam family: Bacterial small subunit ribosomal RNA
Source: RNAcentral
CCUACGGGAGGCUGCAGUGGGGAAUAUUGCACAAUGGGCGCAAGCCUGAUGCAGCCAUGCCGUGUGUGUGAAGAAGGCCUUCGGGUUGUAAAGCACUUUCAGCGGGGAGGAAGGCGGUGAGGUUAAUAACCUCAUCGAUUGACGUUACCCGCAGAAGAAGCACCGGCUAACUCCGUGCCAGCAGCCGCGGUAAUACGGAGGGUGCAAGCGUUAAUCGGAAUUACUGGGCGUAAAGCGCACGCAGGCGGUCUGUCAAGUCGGAUGUGAAAUCCCCGGGCUCAACCUGGGAACUGCAUUCGAAACUGGCAGGCUAGAGUCUUGUAGAGGGGGGUAGAAUUCCAGGUGUAGCGGUGAAAUGCGUAGAGAUCUGGAGGAAUACCGGUGGCGAAGGCGGCCCCCUGGACAAAGACUGACGCUCAGGUGCGAAAGCGUGGGGAGCAAACAGGAUUAGAUACCCUUGUAGUC